AGAGAAUAGAUACCCUGGUAGUCCUGGCAGUAAACGGUGCACGUUUGGUGUGGGCGCAAUCGACCGCGUCCGCGCCGGAGCUAACGCGUUAAACGUGCCGCCUGGGAAGUACGGUCGCAAGAUUAAAACUCAAAGAAAUUGACGGGGACCCGCACAAGCGGUGGAGUAUGUGGCUUAAAUUCGAUGCAACGCGAAGAACCUUACCUGGUCUUGACAUGCAUUGUGUCUCCGGUGAAAGCCGGAUAGGGUAGCAAUACCCGCUUUGCACAGGUGCUGCAUGGCUGUCGUCAGCUCGUGUCGUGAGAUGUUGGGUUAAGUCCCGCAACGAGCGCAACCCCGUGUGAUUUGUUGCCACCGGCUUAUGCCGAGCACUCGAAUCAGACUGCCUCGAUCAACGAGGAGGAAGGUGGGGAUGACGUCAAGUCCGUAUGGCCCUUACGGACCAGGGCUGCACACGUACUACAAUGCCCAGUACAAUGUGAACCGAGACCGCGAGGUGGAGGAAAUCAAU
Molecule: ribosomal RNA, 511 nt
Filed under: uncultured bacterium
Lineage: Bacteria
Description: bacterial SSU rRNA
Rfam family: Bacterial small subunit ribosomal RNA
Source: RNAcentral